CAGAGAUAAGAUAUAAACAUUUCUGAAUUCAUCAUGAAUAGUUUGAAAUUUGUUUGUAGUUUGAUAAUUAUUUUUUCACUUACAACUGCUGAUAAAAAUUCCCGAAUUACAAAUGGUAAAACUCAUGAUACAGAAGUAAAAGAUAAAAUUGAUGACGUGCCAAGGAUUAUUUACGAUUACGGAAGAAAAACUUCCCCACAUAUUAAAGGAAACGAAAGACAAGAUGACAAUCUUGAAGCUGACAAAGAAAAUGGAAAAAACAUAAAUCCGAAAAUUCCUCCUUACUUUGGUAGUGGAUUUGCUGGUAGAUAAUUCUAUGUAAUGUUAAGUUAAUUAUAAAAAUUAAAUUUUGAUGUAUUUUUAAUGAAGAAUAUAUUUUUAAACUUUUAUUGUGAAUAAAUUUUUGAAAUACAAUAUCUAUGUAAUAAUAUUUGUUUUUAAAUCCUUAUGUAAAUGACUGAAUAGUUUAAUA
This 472-nucleotide long non-coding RNA is filed under the name Androctonus crassicauda. Lineage: Eukaryota; Metazoa; Arthropoda; Arachnida; Scorpiones; Buthidae. The record is from RNAcentral.